This 1836-nucleotide ribosomal RNA is filed under the name Lactococcus lactis. RNAcentral describes it as "partial 23S ribosomal RNA". It matches the Rfam family "Bacterial large subunit ribosomal RNA", at positions 1 to 1860 of the family's 2925-position model. The record is from RNAcentral. Lineage: Bacteria; Bacillati; Bacillota; Bacilli; Lactobacillales; Streptococcaceae.
GGCAAAGUUAAUAAGGGCGCACGGUGGAUGCCUUGGCACUAAGAGCCGAUGAAGGACGUGACUAACGACGAUAUUCUAGGGGGAGCAGUAAGUACGCAUUGAUCCCUAGGUCUCCGAAUGGGGAAACCCAGCUGCUACUAGCAGUUAUUCAUGAGUGAAUACAUAGCUCAUGUAAAGGUAACGCAGAGAACUGAAACAUCUAAGUACCUGCAGGAAGAGAAAGUAAAAACGAUUUCGUAAGUAGCGGCGAGCGAACGCGAAGAAGGGCAAACCAAGAAGCUUGCUUCUUGGGGUUGUAGGACUGCAACGUGGACUUAAGCAUUAUAGUCGAAUAACCUGGGAAGGUUAAUCAAAGAGGGUAAUAAUCCCGUAGACGAAAUAGCGCUUAUACCUAGCAGUAUCCUGAGUAGGGCUGGACACGCGAAAUCCAGUUUGAAUCCGGGAGGACCAUCUCCCAACCCUAAAUACUCCUUAGUGACCGAUAGUGAACCAGUACCGUGAGGGAAAGGUGAAAAGAACCCCGAGAGGGGAGUGAAAUAGCACCUGAAACCGUGUGCCUACAAGAAGUUCGAGCCCGUUAAUGGGUGAGAGCGUGCCUUUUGUAGAAUGAACCGGCGAGUUACGUUAUGAUGCGAGGUUAAGUUGAAGAGACGGAGCCGUAGGGAAACCGAGUCUGAAUAGGGCGCCUUAGUAUCAUGAUGUAGACCCGAAACCUAGUGACCUAUCCAUGAGCAGGGUGAAGGUGUGGUAAGACGCACUGGAGGCCCGAACCAGGACACGUUGAAAAGUGUUUGGAUGACUUGUGGAUAGCGGAGAAAUUCCAAACGAACUGGGAGAUAGCUGGUUCUCUCCGAAAUAGCUUUAGGGCUAGCGUCGAAAUGUAAGUGUAUUGGAGGUAGAGCACUGUUUGGGUGAGGGGUCCGUCUAGGAUUACCAAUCUCAGAUAAACUCCGAAUGCUAAUACACAUGUUCGGCAGUCAGACUGCGAGUGCUAAGAUCCGUAGUCGAAAGGGAAACAGCCCAGACCAACAGCUAAGGUCCCAAAAUAUAUGUUAAGUGGAAAAGGAUGUGGGGUUGCACAGACAACUAGGAUGUUAGCUCAGAAGCAGCUAUCAUUCAAAGAGUGCGUAAUAGCUCACUAGUCGAGUGACCCUGCGCCGAAAAUGUACCGGGGCUAAACAUAUUACCGAAGCUUUGGAUUGAUAUUUUAUCAAUGGUAGGAGAGCGUUCUUAACCGCGAUGAAGGUAUACCGUGAGGAGUGCUGGAGCGUUAAGAAGUGAGAAUGCCGGUAUGAGUAGCGCAAGAUAAGUGAGAAUCUUAUCCACCGUAAGACUAAGGUUUCCAGGGGAAGGCUCGUCCGCCCUGGGUUAGUCGGGACCUAAGGCGAGGCCGAAAGGCGUAGUCGAUGGACAACUGGUUGAUAUUCCAGUACUAGAUAUGAUCGUGAUGGAGGGACGCAGUAGGCUAAGAGAUGCCAGUUAAUGGAUUCUGGUCUAAGCAGUGAGGUGUGAGAUGUGUCAAAUGCAUUUCUCUUUAACAUUGAGCUGUGAUGGGGAAGCAACUACGGUUGCGAACUCUCUGAUGUCACACUGCCAAGAAAAGCUUCUAGCGUAAAGUCAUAUCUACCCGUACCGCAAACCGACACAGGUAGUCGAGGCGAGUAGCCUCAGGUGAUCGAGAGAACUCUCGUUAAGGAACUCGGCAAAAUAGCCCCGUAACUUCGGGAGAAGGGGUGCUGGUGUAAAAGCCAGCCGCAGUGAAUAGGCCCAAGCAACUGUUUAUCAAAAACACAGCUCUCUGCUAAACCGCAAGGUGAUGUAUAGGGGGUGACGCCU